CCUACGGGCUGCAGCAGUGGGGAAUAUUGCACAAUGGGCGCAAGCCUGAUGCAGCCAUGCCGCGUGUAUGAAGAAGGCCUUCGGGUUGUAAAGUACUUUCAGCGGGGAGGAAGGUGUUGUGGUUAAUAACCACAGCAAUUGACGAUACCCGCAGAAGAAGCACCGGCUAACUCCGUGCCAGCAGCCGCGGUAAUACGGAGGGUGCAAGCGUUAAUCGGAAUUACUGGGCGUAAAGCGCACGCAGGCGGUCUGUCAAGUCGGAUGUGAAAUCCCCGGGCUCAACCUGGGAACUGCAUUCGAAACUGGCAGGCUAGAGUCUUGUAGAGGGGGGUAGAAUUCCAGGUGUAGCGGUGAAAUGCGUAGAGAUCUGGAGGAAUACCGGUGGCGAAGGCGGCCCCCUGGAUAAAGACUGACGCUCAGGUGCGAAAGCGUGGGGAGCAAACAGGAUUAGAUACCCUUGUAGUC
RNAcentral lists this ribosomal RNA (465 nucleotides) under uncultured bacterium. Its description in RNAcentral is "bacterial SSU rRNA". It matches the Rfam family "Bacterial small subunit ribosomal RNA", at positions 338 to 795 of the family's 1533-position model. The record is from RNAcentral.